This 1331-nucleotide long non-coding RNA is filed under the name Zea mays. RNAcentral describes it as "long non-coding RNA (ZMAY_LNC004823)". Lineage: Eukaryota; Viridiplantae; Streptophyta; Magnoliopsida; Poales; Poaceae. The record is from RNAcentral.
UAAUGGUGUUAAUGAUGAACGCUGAUAACGUACGAAUAGCUAGCGCUUGCGUAUAGUCGUAUGGUGUCUUACAAUUAAAUGUUUAGUUCGCUACCGUGUAUUUGAAUAUCUUGUGCUAUUUUCAUUAUAUUCAUACAUAUGCAUCUUGCAUCUCAUUUAGGACCUAGAGAUGAUGAUCGUGCAAGAGAUGUGGUGCCAACCACAAGAUGCAGUUGGUGGAUGACCCAAAGAAGGAUGGACUUAACUAGUGGAUGCUCGCCAAGCGAGUGUCAUCUAGCAAACACUAUCUAGUGUUAGAUUACAGGCAAGCACUGGUUUUAUGCAUAACCGUUAUAUAUGCUAUUUUCCUGCACUUAAUGUUUGUAGGAUUGUACUGUGCACUUUAGUGUAGGAGUUGCCUGAAACCCUAGUUGCAUGAACUCAGGAUUCCUUUUGAGAUGGAUACUAGUAUGCUAGGUCGAGUAGCUGCUUUACUAAUUAUGGAUCUCGGUACAAGUCGAGUGAUUUUUCUAGCACUCGCGCGAGGUCAGUAAUUGGUUGUACCAUUUUUUAUAUCAGAAUGAUGAUGGUCUGUGGACAACGAUCCAUGGGGAUGUAUGUCUACGAGACGAAAAUUGGAAUAAGGAUUAAUGUGUGGUACCGUGUGUCAAGCGUUUGAACGUACUAAACACAUGCCGAGAAAUAUGGUAAAUCGGCAAGCCUAGUACCUGAGUGAACCUGCCCGCAGAUUGCCCUCCUCACGCGACCUGAGACGUAGUCUCCCAUUCCGGUUAUGGUGGGUACAAGUGCGGUCACUCCACGAUGGCAAUCGGGGUCAGUGAGGCAUUGUAUGCCAAGGCGGUGAGCCCCUUUCUGUUGACAGAGAAUCAAUGGGGACAGUUGAUGUGUGUGGGGAAGGAGUGCCUCGCCACGUCGUGUGUUUAGGUUUACCUUGCAAGGUUUAAAACUCGAUUCGAAUUGUCUGCUUCUCGCAGCUAAUGAGACUGCUUGAUCCAUGCUGCUGCAUCGAGUAAGAAGUGAAAUGAGGUUACUUUCAAAAGAUGUUGAUUGACAUAAUGUUUGAUACCAUGCAUGAAUAGCUAGGUACUCAUCUAGUCUAAAUUAUUAUUCUAGAACUUGAAAAGAUAAAACUUGAUUUUAGACUCAGCUAGUGCUUUUGGCAAACCAAACCCCUCAGCCAAACAGCUGCAUGGUCUGGAGGUAGAGGAGUAGACUCCUCACACCGGGUAAGUCUAGCUGGGUAUUAGUAUACUCAGCCUUGCUUGUGGCUAAAUUUUUUGCAGGUACCUCCUUGUUUUGGUUGAUGGUGUGACUUGGCCUUCAUCUCUGCC